Molecule: transfer RNA, 77 nt
Filed under: Candidatus Dormiibacterota bacterium
Lineage: Bacteria; Bacillati; Candidatus Dormiibacterota
Also listed under: 2 other names
Description: tRNA-Glu
Rfam family: tRNA
About the family: Transfer RNA (tRNA) molecules are approximately 80 nucleotides in length.
Source: RNAcentral
GGCCCGUUCGUCUAGUGGACUAGGACGCCGGCCCUUCAAGCCGGAGAUCGCGGGUUCGAACCCCGCACGGGCCACCA